Molecule: non-coding RNA, 1022 nt
Organism: Megalobrama amblycephala (Wuchang bream)
Lineage: Eukaryota; Metazoa; Chordata; Actinopteri; Cypriniformes; Xenocyprididae
Source: the annotation of a RefSeq genome assembly
UUGAUUCUCCAGUCAUUCCAGUGGCCUAGAAAAAUCUUCUUUUGUCCUCCGUAUGGUGGCCACCAUGUUGAGAUCACAUGACCAGCUAAAUUCUGCUCACUUUAUCUUGGUCACAUAUUAUCAGAAACAUUCACCUUAUAUAAAUGAAUCAUGAGAGUGAAUAGAUUAUUUCUACAGCGGCACUGAAAGCUGAAAAUGCUUCAUCCACACUGAUAGAUGUUCAUAUAAAGUCAAAGACUAGUGUCUCAUCAGUCUGACAAACAUAAACAAAAAUAUUUCACAAUUAAUCAAUAUGAACAAUUAAUCACUAAAUGGUUCAAGAAUGCUCUGAAAGUAAAAUCUUAUAUGUAGAGAGUUUAUUAGUUUGUCUGUUGUAAAUCCUGCCCACUUGUUUGCAUUGUGACACAUGCUUCAGUGCUCUGAGAGUGUUUAUAGUGCUGUGAGUUUAACACUUCAUGACUGAGAGCAGAACAGAACACAAUCUUCAUCAUCACACAAGACAAAAGAACAACAAUGAACACAAUCACCUUCAUCUGGACUCUCACACUGUUUAUUCAAGAAUCCAGAGGAGUGACUCUGACUCAACCUGAAGCUAAAACUGUCCAACAGGGUGAAACAGCUUCAAUAGAGUGUAGUUUGGAUGUUGCACUAACUUAUAAUGCCUUAGUCUGGUAUCAGCAGAAACUUGGAGAAACCCCUAAACUCCUGAUUUAUGGCAUAAACAUACUCCAGUCAGGAACUCCAUCUAGAUUCAGUGGCAGUGGAUCUAACUAUGGCAGUGAUUUUACUCUGACCAUCAGUGGAGUCCAGACUGAAGAUACAGGAGAUUAUUACUGUCUGAGUAUACACAGCAUCAACAGUAAAUAUGUGUUCACACAGUGAUAAAGAGUGGUACAAAAACCUCGGUCAGUCAGACGUCACAGUGAUGCACUGAUACAGCUGAGAGAUACUGCAGCUGCUCAUACAACACAAUCACACACAACACUGAUCAGUGAUGGAAGGGGUUCAUCAUAAAAGAUCAC